UGCUUAAUACAUGCAAGCCGAGCGGUUUCAGCAAUGGGACAGCGGCGCACGGGUGAGUAACACGUAAAUAACCUGGCUUUAAGUUUGGAAUAACUUCCCCAAAGGGAAGGUAAUACCGGAUAAUGCGGAAGGGCGGCAUCGUUUUUUUGUAAAAGCAGAGAUGUGCUUAGAGAUGGAUUUGCGGACUAUUAGUUAGUUGGUGGGGUAGUAGCUUACCAAGGCGAUGAUAGUUAGCCGGCUUGAGAGAGUGACCGGCCACAAUGGGACUGAGACACGGCCCAUACUCCUACGGGAGGCAGCAGUAGGGAAUAUUGCGCAAUGGAUGGAAGUCUGACGCAGCAACUCCGCGUGAUGGACGAAGGUCUUCGGAUUGUAAACAUCUUUUAUACGGGAAGAAAAGUUAGAGAUUGACGGUACCGUAUGAAUAAGCUCCGGCUAAAUAUGUGCCAGCAGCCGCGGUAAUACAUAUGGAGCGGGCGUUACUCGGAAUCACUGGGCGUAAAGGGUGCGUAGGCGGUAAUAUAAGUCGUAGUUUUAACUUAUGGGCUUAACCUGUAUUGUGAUUGCGAUACUAUAAUACUUGAAUACUUGAAGGGUAAAUGGAAUUUCCGGUGUAACGGUGGAAUGUGUAGAUAUCGGGAAGAACACCAAUAGCGAAGGCAUUUUACCGGCGAGAUAUUGACGCUGAGGCACGAAAGCGGGGGUAGCAAACAGGAUUAGAUACCCUGGUAGUCCUCGCUGUAAACGAUGGACAUUAGUCGUUGGGUUGAAAGAUUCAGUGGCGUAGAAAACUUGAUAAAUGUCCCGCCUGGGUAGUACGGCCGCAAGGUUGAAACCCAAAGGAAUUGACGGGGACCCGCACAAGCGGUGGAGCAUGUGCUUUAAUUCGAUGCAACGCGAAGAACCUUACCCGGUCUUGACAUAGUCCUGACAGUUUCAGAGAUGGGAUUUUCAGCAAUGACAGGAUAUACAGAUGCUGCAUGGUUGUCGUCAGCUCGUGUCGUGAGAUGUUGGGUUAAGUCCCGCAACGAGCGCAACCCUUGCCUAUAGUUACUAACAUUAAGUUGAGGACUUUAUGGGGACUGCCUUCGCAAGGAGGAGGAAGGUGGGGAUGACGUCAAAUCAUCAUGGCUCUUACGACCGGGGCUA
RNAcentral lists this ribosomal RNA (1149 nucleotides) under uncultured Chitinivibrionia bacterium. Its description in RNAcentral is "bacterial SSU rRNA". It matches the Rfam family "Bacterial small subunit ribosomal RNA", at positions 45 to 1216 of the family's 1533-position model. Lineage: Bacteria; Pseudomonadati; Fibrobacterota; Chitinivibrionia. The record is from RNAcentral.